AAAUCACAUGAGACACACAGUAAGGGUGGAUGGCUACGCUAAGGGGGUUCACUAAAUCACAUGAGACACACAGUAAGGGUGGAUGGCUACGCUAAGGGGGUUCACUAAAUCACAUAAGACACACAGUAAGGGGGUUCACUGAAUCACAUAAGAAACACGGUAAGGGUGGAUGGCUACGAUAAGGGGGUUCACUAAAUCACAUAAGAAACACGGUAAGGGUGGAUGGCUACGAUAAGGGGGUUCACUAAAUCACAUAAGACACACAGUAAGGGGGUUCACUAAAUCACAUAAGACACACAGUAAGGGGGUUCACUAAAUCACAUAAGGCACA
Clupea harengus (Atlantic herring) is the source of this 331-nucleotide long non-coding RNA. NCBI's taxonomy places the organism in Eukaryota, Metazoa, Chordata, Actinopteri, Clupeiformes, Clupeidae. The record is from Ensembl.